CCAGCAUUGAUUAUUUUCAUUUCCUAUUGUAGUGAAGUGGAAGAAUUCUGUCGGUCAAUUGAAAAGAAAAUGAAGAGGGAAGGAAACCUCUGAAUGGUAUGUAGAGCUGUUACAUACUUCACAAUCUGGGCUUUAAAUAUCUAAGUCAAAUGUCAAACAUUUUAUUUCUAUCAUGUAUCUUUCUUUCAGGACUCAUCCAUCCUGAUAAUUCACAUGAGGCUGCACAAGUCCUGCAACAAAAUCCUCAAUUUGUUAAUAAAAAAAUAUGUUUACUACAAGAUGUGUUGUUUGUUUCUGAAGUGAUUAUGGUAUGUUUUUGACCAAUUUUACAAGGUUUAGCAUGUUUCUAUGAUAUUAGGAUAACAUCAUGACUCCAUUCAAUGCUAUAGAAAGAUAAUUAACUACUCUAAUAAUGAGAGAAAAGAACUUGCCCCCAUCAAGGGACUUCAAACCUGCAUUCCAUAUGAAUUUAGACUCUUGUGAUGGUUGUCUCCCAUUUCCUGAUGCUGCCUUUCAGACAUGGCUCCAUCUUCCUCCUGUUUCUCCCAACAACCACUCAAGUCACAAAGAACUGCUCU
This 578-nucleotide long non-coding RNA is filed under the name Xyrichtys novacula (pearly razorfish). Lineage: Eukaryota; Metazoa; Chordata; Actinopteri; Labriformes; Labridae. The record is from RNAcentral.